This 608-nucleotide long non-coding RNA is filed under the name Homo sapiens (human). RNAcentral describes it as "HSALNT0371552". Lineage: Eukaryota; Metazoa; Chordata; Mammalia; Primates; Hominidae. The record is from RNAcentral.
CAUAAACAGAACAAUGGGAAGUCAGAUUGUGUUCUGCUGAAGAGUGUCCAUGGGCUGAAGGCUUUUGAAAUCAAAUCACAGUAGAAUUGCCUGAAGGAAGUGAGAGUGUAUAGCCUGAUGCCGAGAAGAAAAAGCCUGGGGGUAACAUACAGAGAGGCCCAGCAAGCAGAUUUGAGAGAUUGUGCUCUGUACUUGUGCAAUCUAAUUGUGUCCUGUUAGAAAGGAGAUGUCCUGGGAAACUCAGAUUAAGGUUUCUAGCAACUGUGAAUCCAUUUUAUGAAUGGGAAGGAAAUGAGGCACAUGGUGACCUUCACCUGCAGCACCUUCCCUCUCAGUAUGAGGCCACCAUCUGGACGCCGAGACUCCUUUGGCAGAUUGAGAUCUGGAACAUGGAGUGAGCUACAACAAGGGCUGGAGAAUUUUAGUGGCCUCCAACAGAAGCUGAGAAACCAGAGAGGAGACUGUGGAUCUGAUGCUCCUGGGACUCAGAACCUUUAGAACUCUUUAUAAAUGGGAUAAAACUGGCUCUCCGGGGCUCAGACCCUAGGAAAGAAUAAUCCACAAUAGUUAACAAUGGUCUGGGCUUGGUCAGAUGGAUCUGACUUGCA